RNAcentral lists this ribosomal RNA (253 nucleotides) under uncultured bacterium. Its description in RNAcentral is "partial 16S ribosomal RNA". It matches the Rfam family "Bacterial small subunit ribosomal RNA", at positions 524 to 776 of the family's 1533-position model. The record is from RNAcentral.
UACGAAGGGUGCAAGCGUUAUCCGGAUUCAUUGGGUUUAAAGGGCGCGUAGGUGGCCUGAUAAGUCAGUGGUGAAAUCUCUGGGCUCAACCCAGAAAUUGCCAUUGAUACUGUCAGGCUUGAGUAUAGUUGCCGUUGGCGGAAUAUGACAUGUAGUGGUGAAAUACAUAGAGAUGUCAUAGAACACCGAUUGCGAAGGCAGCUAACGAAACUAUAACUGACACUGAGGCUCGAAAGUGCGGGGAUCAAACAGG